UUAGCACCAACCACAUGCCAGGCCUCAUACUAGCUGACCAAUAUACACAGUGUUUGGCAAAAGCUAAGGUCAUGGUGUGCCAGUUCUGCUCUCUGCUGUAUUUGUGUCCUGUUUCCUUAUGUCGUUUGUAAUUUUUGAUCACAAGCACAUUUUCAACAAGGUUUGUUUACCAUGGGACCCCCAUGAGGCCUGAACUACAGAAGUGGUUUGGGGUUUGCCUCUGCCAGGUCCCUGGAGGUUUCAUUGGCCCUAGAUUAAUUUUUAUGUUAAACUUCUGUGGUAAAUUGUGUUUCUGGAGAAGACCACGACAAUAGACCCUCUCCCAAUAGCUCUUUUGUAAUGUGAUCUUGCCACUCCUCCAUCAAGAGGUGGAGUUUAUGAUCCCUUCCCCUGAUUCUGAGCUGCCUGUGACUGACUUUGAUUGACAGAAUGCGGCAGAAAUGACACUGCAUCACUUCCAAGACUGGCCUUAUGAGACUCCCAACUUUUGCUUUCACUACUUGGAGAGCUCCCUUUUGGAGGCCAGUCAUCGUGUUAGAAGCAUAACUAACUGGAGACCACUAUGUGGUGGAGAAGCUCAUGCUGUCUACAUAUAGAGGGAAAUGGCAUAUCAAUGAAUUAAACAUGAAAGUGAAGAUUUCUUGGCCCUCUCCAUCUUACUCAGCUCAUUGGAGCCACCAGCUGAAAGCAAGGGAGUGAAUGAGCCCAGUCCCGAGUGGAGCAGAAGGAGCCCAACCAGCGAAGCCCAGCCUGAAUUCCUGACUAACAGACUUAACAGGUGGAUUUUUGGGUUUGCUGAAGAAGAAAAAGAAGGAGAAGGAGAAGGAGAAGAAGAAGAGAAGUGUGAUUAACAAGAAAAAAACUUAUUUGGGGUCUAUGAACACCUUGAAUAUUUAACAGAAUAUCAGCUACUCAUCUGUAACCAUUCACUACAUAGCUAAACUUUUAGUAAUAAUGUAGGUAUUCUCUGGCCAAGAGAAAGAUAGGAUGUGUGUGUGUGUGUGUGUGUGUGUGUGUGUAUGUGUGUGUUUAACAG
This is a long non-coding RNA of Pan troglodytes (chimpanzee), 1036 nucleotides long. RefSeq lists it as uncharacterized. The transcript is spliced from 3 exons. Lineage: Eukaryota; Metazoa; Chordata; Mammalia; Primates; Hominidae. The record is from RefSeq and is a predicted model, not a curated record.